GUGAGAAGAAUAAAACCAGAGAGCUAAGUGAAAGGACUACGUGCAAGAAACACAUAUUUUUCAAUGGCUCUGAGUACAUUUGGGCUGGAGAGCAGAAGAUGAUGUAAGCUGCAGGAAGAAGCAACUCAGUUGUCACAUCAGAUGAUGAAAUUAAGUUUUUUAUUCCCUGCCUAAAUCUUCCAUCUGGUAGCAAUAGCUCUACAGUGCUGGCAUUUAUCAAGAGAAGACACACAGCACAGCCUUGCAUAAAUAAUGGCACUGGGCCAAGUACAGCUGAGGUGGUUGCCAGCACAACUCCGUUGAAGUCAAAGGAAUUGCACCGCGGGCUGCUUCUGGAAGGGCUUCUGACUGCUUUAACACAGCAGUCUCGCCAAGAGUGCAGCGCCUCAGACAGUCGGGCUGGUACAGUGAAGAAAUCCUAAAGCUGGAGCUGGACCAAGCGGCGAGGGAACUUCUUGACCCAGAUUUGCUGCCAGAGAAGUGUUUGUGUAACUAUACGGUUAACGUGGUGUUUAUGCCCAUGUUGUACAAGACUUAUUAGAUAGCUGACAGGUAUUAAAGCGAGCUGCUUAAAAGGUUAGGGAUUGGGCAUGUUUCCCAAAACCAGAGAUAGGGCUAUUCCGGGAACUUGCUAGAAGGACAGACUCUACCUCUAAUGGGUAUAUCCACCUAUUAAAAAGUGGCUGUGUACAUUUAUGUGGGCUUGGGUUAUUCCUGUAGCUCAGAUGGAGGAUCCCUAGGUACAGCUUAGCAAUAUCCAAGAUUGAUGAAAUGGGUGUGACUGUAACUCCGUUAAUUUUCACUGGCAUUAACAGCCCUCUGGGAGUGACCCCAGAGCAGGACACUGCUGGCGCGCAAGGUGUCUGUCUUGUUCUGGUGUUUCUCAUAUGCUGGUGACAGGCUGGAUAGGAUGACUUAGAUUUGGCUCUGAAAAUUUAGAGAGGCUUUCAACAUGUUUGCACCUGAUGUUAUUGGAAGAUCCCAGUGGAAGACAAACCUGAGCACAAUUUAAGGUGACUUUCUCCAUAGAGGAAGUUACAAUUGAUCAGGUUUCUUUUCACAGCUGUGCAGCUGUGAUUAGGCAGCACUUUUAGGCAGUUGGGUACAGCAGGCCUUGAGCACAGCAUCUGUAGAUGUUUUCUUGUGUAGUACGGCUCCUGGGGUGGUGGUUUCAUGGCAGCACACACUGACCCACGUUAGUGCUGGUGUGGCUCUGCCCUGGGAGGGUGUAACAGAGUCCUUGAAAGCCAGAGCAUAAUUCUGUCUUUGACAGCCACCAUGGCCAUAUGGUCUUCUCGUACAUCUCCAGUUCCUUCCUCUUCAGUCAUACAAACUAGGUAAAUACAUAGAAAUAAGGACAGUUUCUAGGCACCUGGCUUAAACCAGAGAUAAAGGAUUGAGUGGGACCACUCAGACCGUGGAGCCUUGUCCCUACACUUGGAGGCGGGUGGACCUUAGAUGCUUGGUGGGAUGUCACAAGCCCACGCUGGUGUGUGAGAGGAGAGCAAGAUUUACACUGUGUUUUAGCCAUGUCUCACUUCAGCACAACGGGAAAGGCUUCAUUAAAUGAAAAUGCCUGGAUGGUCCCUAGUAAGUGUGCCAUGCAUAAGACUAUAAAGGAAAGCAAAAAGAGACAGCUAAAACUGUCUCUGCCAGUCUUGCUGUGGGAGCAGAAAACGUCCUUCAUAUUUUCAAUGGAGAACAUGUUACAUAAUUAAAAUACUGAAUAAUUGGCAAAUUUUGAAAAAUACAAUUUAGUGAGGAGUAAUCAGUGAAGGAGGAUACUUUUAGAGGGAGGCUGUGCAGAGGUCAACAUUGAAUUCACUACCAUUUAACAUGUUCAGCGGUGAAUGUUAAAUUCCUGCUCCUAACAUUUACAAGUGUAUUGGAGAGCUGCUCUGCCAAAGACUGAAGAAGAGGCAGUCCUUCAGAGAGAUCAGGAAUACUAAGCAACUAGAGUCCAUUUAAAGGACGUGCAUUUUAAUACGAGAAACAACCAAAUGAUGUGUCUAGAAACAUAGAACAACAUAAACAGAAUAGGGGGGAAAGGAAAGAAGUGGCUCUAAAAAAGAGAUUGGAAGGGGCAUUCGAUCGGUGUGAGGGGCCCUACAAUGGCAGGAAAGUUAGCGUGCGCCUUGGACGUAUGGAAGCAGCAAGGUAGUUUUCUGAGUACAACAGUCAGAACCUGAAAAUUGUUUCCAUUUCAUACUUUUUAAAAGGAUACUAAAAAGUGUAGAGUAUGAGGAAGAAAGCAAUGCUAAUUACUUAAGGGGAAGAGAGAAAGUUGUAUAAUGAGACACUUGCAGAUCAAGUUGUUCUUUAUACUAGAGCAGACUGAGAAGUGACUUGAUUAGUGUAUAAAUGCUCCAUGGUAAGAACAAAUGGAUAUUAAAGACCUUAAUUUAGCAGAGAAAAACACAACAAGAGCUAAUAGCUGGAAACUCAGUGCAACAAGCUCAAAUUAAGUAUUAGGCGGGCAUUUUUUAUUAUUAUAUUUAGUUAGCUGUUAUUAACCACUGGGGAAGUGAACGCAAAUCAACAAAGGCAAGGAUGGGACAUCUUCAAAUUAAGAGCAGCUGUAUUUGGGGGUGAUAGUCUUUAGCCAACUGUGAGCUAGUCUGCUUAAUAUGGGUGAAAUAGAAAUACAGGCUACAGCCAAAGAUUCUUUCUGUCUAAAAGUUUGUUUUAAGAAUUGUGCUAUAUUUAAAAUAAUGUAAGCAGUGGGGAAAUAUUCUUUUACUUCUUUGGCAAUAUUCUGAAACACAUGACCUGCACCUCUUUUUCAAGUGCACAGCUACAUCUAGUUACAAAUUAUUCUCAUCUGAGUAUGUGUGGGGGGGUGGUUCUUAUUAAUGUUAAGAGAACUGUUAUCAGGCUUUCUUAUGACCACAUGUAGUACACUGACCGCCCUCUCAGCCAAACUCUUCCUAGUUCAGUAGUGUAUGGAAGAGGAUCACAGUCCACCUCCUUUUGUGGCUGUAUUUUACAAGGUAAUGAAAGUAAAUGUGGAAGAUGCCAGAAAAAAGAAAGGUGUUAGUUUUUUUGUAACAUAUAUGAAAAGAAAUCCUGAGAGACUCAUUCCUCAGAAUCUGAGAGAUGCAGAAUUGCUAAGGACUCCAGAGCUGCACAAAAGCUGUUUCGUGUCUCUGUUUCUUAAAAGUAGCAUAAACAUCAGUUCUAUGUGAAAGUCAGGGGACUACAGGCUUAGUUAGUGUGGGGUAACUGUCCGACUUUUGUGCCCAGAGGCAAAAUUAUCUGGUAGUGGAUAAGUAGAGUUGCACCUGGUCUUAGGAUGGGUAAAAUUUAAAGCCUGGUAAAAUAUAAUGAAAUAAAGCUCAGUUACUCAGUCUUCUUGCUCUCCUUUAAGUGCUGUAGUCUGCAAUACAUUAAUUAUUUUUCAUUCUUUACAUUAGCAGGCCCAGUUCUCCAUCAUAUCCGUCACUUUGACUUGAACAGUCUUGGGUUUUUUGUUUUCCUCUGGUUCUAGCUACGGUUUAAGCAUCUGUUUGGACAGCUUCGGAUCUCCAGUAGUUAAACAUCCUGUGACUUGUCUUCAGCUGUCACAUUUCAGGUCCUUCCAAAAGACACACAUCAUGUGCUACUUAAAACUUUUGUUUAGCUUGUUAGUUAUUUAAGUGUAGCUUAAUGGUAUGCCAGAUGCUCUCCAGUCAGAGAAGUGCUUUGCUUGCACUCCCCCAUCUGUGUGUGACUCUCUCCUUUUAAAUCUGCUUUCUGCAGCAGACUUUCUGAGACAGAUCAAAUUGCUUCAAGGCCCUGAAGAACUCGUGAUUCAACAUCCCUUUUUGUCCAGUUUACACAGCUUAAUUGCCGCUUUGCACACUGCUCCCAGCCUCAGCCCAAAAGACAUGCAGUAAGGCAAGUAAUGUGGCACGUUGGCGGGGCCACUGAGAACAGGUUGCUACGUCAAGAUCCUUGGAGACACUUAGGAGCUUUGGGGAAGAUGGAUGAAAUACAGCUGCAAAGCACCCUCUUGCAACGGAGAAUCUUUUAGCUUUCAAGUACAUGGAUAGUAUCAGCUGUCAUAGAUAUUGAUUUCACCGAACAUUUCUUUGCCCUUGGCAACAUCGCCAUUGUGGUACACUAAAUAUGCUAUUUGCGAAGCAUCCUUUUCCUUCAGCCCUUAACCAAUGCUUUCUCCAUGUGCUUUCCCAACCAGAGAGAAAAAUCUUGUCUUCGUAGAUUGAUCUACUUAAGGAAACGCAGUGCUGCUUCUUGCUUAUUAAGAUUCAGAUCUCUUCUAGAUUGCUGGCUUAAGCUCAUCUCUUCUGUGUAAAUUUCUGGGGGAGUGAGUGAGAAAAAGGAAUGGGAGACAGAAAGGAUAUUUUAGGCAGCUGUUCAGCAACCUGUGAAAUAAUCUGAGGUCUUAACCCCACACAUGUCCAUGUCACAUACUCCCCAUCACUAUUUAUAACCUUUUCGGCUUUACAAGCAAAGAGGGCAGGAAUGUGCAUGGAGAUGAAGCCAGCUAUUUUCCCAUGCCUAGACGUGGUAGUCCAGUUGAUGGGCAGAGAUACUGGGAAAGAAUGUUGUGAAAGCUGGGCAUAGGGAGCUGGUGCUCUCAGGGCCCCACACUACACCUGAUUUUUGAAGGGAAUGUGGGAAAAGGACUCUCAGACUCCAGGUCGGUUACUGUAGAGCCUUUCAAGAGAACUGUAACUGAUUCUGAAAAUUCUCCUUUUCAAAAGCCUUCAGAGACACUUUUUUUUUUCAUUAUACACGACAAUAAAAUGAAUGUAAAAAGAGUUCAUAUGUGGGAUAUUUCGCAUUAAAUUUUAAAGCUAAAGCAGUGCCAGGCUGUGUGUGAAAGUAAUUUCAUUAAUUUUAUUCAGCAGAUGAUUCUAUCAGAUACAGCUUUUAUAUCUGCACCAAGUUUAGUGAACUGUAAACGUAAGUGGUAAAUUGGUGAGGUAGUACCUUUUAAAUUAUGAAAAAACGAACAUUAGUUGUAAUACCCAGUACGAAUCUGCUUACUGUGGGUAGCUACCAUUUUCAACUAGCUGAGUCUUUAAGCUGAACAGUUGAUUGCAUUUUGUUCACAUGGAAAUUUGAUCCAUAUUUGCCAAUGCAUUUAGCUAUUUACAGGAUGUAUUGCUGAUGGAAAGUGUUGUCACCUGUGUGACCUGAAUCAGGAAGUAUAACAUUGGUAGGUAGGAUACGUAUUUUUUUGAUAGCUAUUUCCUGUGUAAUGCACCUUUAUUUUUUCUCUACAUGGGCUGUCAUUUAGAAACCAGAGUCCACUGCCCACCCUGACAGAGUGCUGUUCCUUGACUUCUUUGGCCUAUCUCUCAAAAGAAGGAUGCUAUAACUAAAACCAGGGCAGACACCUCAGUUACUCCAGACUCACAGAGUCUUUAAAAGGUGGAGGAGGUCGGUUCAUCAGCGUGUAAAUCCAGAGGAUGCUAUUCCAGGAGGACUGAUACAGGCUGAACUCUGUAAGAAGGCCGGGUAAGAAAGUCACCUUCCUGAACGGAAACUAAGUCCUUUUGUUCUCAUGAGUUGUCUAAGUCUUGCUUGGAGAAGGCCGACUGUCCCCGAGUGAUGGAGAGUGCCGCUGCAAUCUUCCGUGACUGACACUCCUGCCUCUCUGCCAGGAGACAAGACCACAGAUCGCCAUGAUGCUGUUCUGGUAUGGGACUUCCUCACAGGUGGCAGUUCCCUUCAAGAGCUCAGCUGGCUCUCCCAACCAGCAGCUGUGCUGUGCUGUGCUACCACAAAACCAGCGUGCUUUACUGGUGGGCGCUUGAUAGAGAGGUGGAAAGGAAAAGUGAGAAGAACUCAGUGCAUUUUGAGCACCCUGUCCUCCCCUCUCCUAGAGGAGAAGGGCCACGCAGUGAUAAUGCCCACGUGCUAGCGGAGUGGAAGCAAAGAUAAAGCAUGCAGGACAGAUACUACUGUCACUGUCAUUGCAGAAAUCACAGUAAUGUAGCACGUGGAUGACUGUACGUGCAGCAUUAUCAUUGUUCUGCUAUACUGUCCAUUGUGUCUCUGUAUUUCUCAAACUCUGAGAAUAUCCAUAUUAGCAUUUUGGUUUGGGUCAGGAGUUCACUUUAAGGUGAAUGACUUUAUUAUCCCUGCCUACCAGGCUUUGCUUCUCCUUGCUGAGUGGUAUGACAGCACAGGAACUGAAUUCAUGCCAGCUGAAACUUAACUGGAAGAUGCAGUCCAGCAGCUAGUGGGUGGUUAGUCCACAGGAGAAAACUAGAGCAAAUUAAAAUCUCACCAAAACAUGUAUAAUCUGAAUUUUGAGUCCUUAGCACUAGCCAUUUCCCUCUUUAUGUCCUCUCCUACUGGGCUGCUCUAUUUGUUGUUGUCAGGUGCAUAUAUCAGAAAUUAACUGUGUUUGCCCAGUUUUCCUCAGGGACCUGAUUUAUGAUAUACUGACCAGCUUUCUGUUGUUUCUAACUUGCUUUUUCCCUUCUCUUUGUCUUCCACUUACUACUAUGAAAAGGCCAGUCAGUGAAAAUAAUCGAGUGCUUCUCCACAGUUAAUGUGAUUUGCUCUGGCCUUGCAAAAUCUGUGCAUACUUUCUGACUUGAUACACCUUGUAUUUUAUGCAUCAGUGUGCAAUGAUCAUUUGGUUAUAACAAUUAAGCUGGGGAUCAUCUCCAUCAAUCUUCAUAAUAAUCUUCUAUUAUAUUUUAACAAAUGAGAUGAGAAAUAAAACAGCCUUACUCUUGUAUUAGCAUGGUGCAGAUGUCCUUUUAAAGUUCUAAAUUGCACAAUGCAGCCUGAUAACUAUUAACUGCCUACAAAGGCAUGUUAAGGAAUGAGAACGUAAAAGCCAAAUGCACUUGUUUCAGCUGGUAAGAUUUUUGAAACAGGAGAAAAAAAGCCCUUAUGUGAAGGUGUGGAAAAUCAGUUUGUUGAAGUGUUAUAAUCUUUCCAUAGAAGGAUUGGGAAGGAUGACUUAAUUGAGUCCUCUGUAGAGGCUUAUCUUAGUCUUUACCUACUCUGUUAUAAAAUUUACCAUAGGAGUAAGAAAUGGUUACUGCUCAGGCAAUACAGAUAUAGCAUGAACACAAAGAGAUAGGCUUCCUCUGAAGAGAUGAUAAUGCUAUAGCCACAGUGACGUUGUUCUCUAAACCCUGUCAAGCUGUCUUAAGAGUGGGUGGAAUCGAUAAAACAUUCCUAUCACAAGCAAAAGGCUCAUUUGUAUUACCAAACAAACAACCAAAACUAAAAUUUCGCGUUCUAAUGGUCUUGAUGUAGGUUCCUCAUUCAUUUCCUCAGAUAUUUCCUGGAUAACUUGUAAUGUUCAUCGGGGAACGACUAAAACAUUUUACACAUGAUGUUAAAAGAUUUUCUCCUGGUACUAUCAGGGAGCAUUAGGACUUUCUAGGCUUUGAAAUGUGGAAGCUACUGAUGCUCCAUGAUCUUGGAGAUCCUAUCUCUGGCAGUGUAGUAAUUAUACUGUUGUCAAAAUGUUGUGUCUAAUGCUGAAGUAAUGAAAAAGCAAGAAUGCUUUCUUCAGUAAAAGCACAUAUUCCUAGGUGAUAAAUUGCCUUUUGAAAAGAAAUGCUGAGCAAACUCAGGAAAGUUGUCCAUUACUCUGUGAUCUUCAAGAAAGUGAUUGAUAAGUAUUUUCAACUUCGCUUCCCAUUGCACCGCUUAAUGAACUCACUUGCACUUGGUUGCUCCCCAUUAAGUUUUGUGGUGCCCAAUUAGGCUCUUGCUUUGCUUACAUGGUUCCAAAUACGUAGCCAAACUGAAGGCUUAUGGAGAGCUAAACUUGGCCACUUGCCACUUUUAAUUUCUCACUUACAUUUUGUUUGAAGAAGUCAGUGUGUUUUCCCCAUGUCGUGCAACAGUGAGGAUAAGAAGUAGAUGAAAUUGCUUCCUCUUCACACUGAAUAAGGAACUUGAUUCUAAUAGGGCGUGUAAAAUCAACUCAGAAGGCUUUUGGGAGGUUUGAGGAUCAUGGGGGUUUUAGUUAGAAGGAAAGCAAAGGUAGAAACUUUCUUCUUCCUAACAUGUUACAUCUCUGAAGGAAGUUCCAUGAAGGUGAUAUUCAGGAGAGUUACUUAAAAGCAAGCAAAAGAGUGUACCAAGAAAAACUGAGUUUGAAGCUUUGCACCAGAGCUGUCAGGAGGACCUUUAGCGUCAAACCUGGGUUCUUGGGCAAACACUGGUGUAAGCCCCUGGCUGUUGCAAGAACUUCCAGAGCAAGUUGUGGGCGAGGUUUUGGUGGUAGCAGAGGAUGGGAAAAUACAGAGAAGGGAGAUAAUCUAGGUAGAGUGACUCUGGGAAACUGAUCUUCACUGUGCACCCUGGUGGUGGGAGCUGAGCCCGUUUCUGUAAUGGUCCUUCACCCUGGCUUGAGGCUGCCUCAUCACUGGACCAAAAGCAGUGCAAGUGAGGAUCUAAGAUCCCAGACAGAUUAUUGUGCUGGAUUUAUCUCUAGACUACAGGUGCUACUGCCCCUGUCUCUCUACCCUGAGCCUCAACAAGUGGCAACAGGCACAUGCUGUACCUCAUGACCUGCUCAUGGAAAUGCCAGAGGAUUGAGCUUGAGCUGCUGAUGGGGACAUCUGACAUCAUGACCGUGAGCGCUGAUCUGCUAUAACUGAAAAGCAGACAGGGCUCCUGAAGGAUGGGGCAGGAGCAGGUUUAGCUACUGAUGCAGCUGAUUCCAAGCGGCUUCAUUUGGGGGAGCCUCAAGUGUUUAUUCGUGACCAGAAUAGGAGCAUUUUAGUAACAAACCUUUAAAAACAUUUCUUGCCGCUUUUCCGUUUCAUUCCCUGAAAGGGUUCUACACUCACCCGCAUGCAUCUACUUUUAGAACGCUUUCUCCGUUUAACGACUAUGUUCCACUUCAUUCAAAGAUUAAUAGCAGUACAAUUAUUAAUUGCAAAUUUAUAACCUUUUGCUCAGGUGGGGAGAGUGUAACUUCUCAUAAACAUUAGCUCCAGAUGAAAUGUCAUGUUGCAGGUCUCAGCUGUGAAGCUGUGCUUUUAAUUAAUUUUCAGAUUUUCCGUUCGUUCUGAGAGAUAUCACAGGAAUUUGCAAACACUCAUUUAAUCUCCAUGGGCUGAAUCCUACUUUCAUCCACCCGGUGACUGCGAUGAUGGUUUGUUUGCGUGACGACUGCAUACUUGUGCCCAUCGGCACAACAGCGUCAAAGGCUUUAGAAGAUGCUAGGGGCCCUUUCUGCAAAAUCUGAGGUCAGAGGGACCUGCCACCUAGCUGGAGCAUUUGACUGCAAAGACUCCCAGCCUAAGAAGCUGCAAUAAGGAAUAUGGUUUAGAAAAAAAUGCCAUCUAGAAAAGUCCAUGCUGAGAGCGUCCUUCAGCCCAUAUAGCUGGCUAUUCCAGUGUUUAUCUUCCUGCUAGAAAUUGCUAUGGAAUAAAAAUUUGUGUACUGUCAGAUCAUUUUUGCACAGUGAUCAACAUUUUUUUAGUCGAUCUUCAAUAAAUUGAGAUGAUAUGAGUUUUUGAAGCCACAUGUUGUAGGGUUUUCUUUUCCAGCCCCAGGAUUUUCUUUUUCUUGGCAGUACUCCCAUCUGUUGGAAUUGUUCCAGUUUUCCAUGAUUUAUUAUAAUAAAAAUAAUUUAUGAACGUUAAUGAAUUGGAGAACCCUUCAGCUAAGCAAUUUUAGGCUUUAUGGGGGUGCGGGUAAGUUAACCAGACUUGUUGAUUAUUUAUGCCCACAUUUAAUCUUGGCAGAUGUGGUCUUUUUAAACUUUUUGCAAUGUUUCAUAUUAUAUAGAAUAGAUGCAUUCUCAUUUUAUAAUUCUCAUUAUAAAAUGGAAAUAUCUACUGAACAUUUUACCUUUUCUCUGGUGUUAUUUAUGAUUUAUGAUUUAUGAUUGAAAUGUAUUUAAUCCUUGGUCAGGCACUUCUUGUUCUUAUUAAAAAUUCCAUCUUAUUGUCC
This is a long non-coding RNA of Aquila chrysaetos chrysaetos, 9891 nucleotides long. RefSeq lists it as uncharacterized. The record is from RefSeq and is a predicted model, not a curated record. The transcript has 7 exons. NCBI's taxonomy places the organism in Eukaryota, Metazoa, Chordata, Aves, Accipitriformes, Accipitridae.